Molecule: ribosomal RNA, 501 nt
Filed under: uncultured bacterium
Lineage: Bacteria
Description: partial 16S ribosomal RNA
Rfam family: Bacterial small subunit ribosomal RNA
Source: RNAcentral
AUUGAACGCUGGCGGAAUGCUUUACACAUGCAAGUCGAACGGCAGCACGGGGGCAACCCUGGUGGCGAGCGGCGAACGGGUGAGUAAUACAUCGGAACGUGCCCAGUCGUGGGGGAUAACGUAGCGAAAGUUACGCUAAUACCGCAUACGAUCUACGGAUGAAAGCGGGGGACCGUAAGGCCUCGCGCGAUUGGAGCGGCCGAUGUCAGAUUAGGUAGUUGGUGAGGUAAAGGCUCACCAAGCCGACGAUCUGUAGCUGGUCUGAGAGGACGACCAGCCACACUGGGACUGAGACACGGCCCAGACUCCUACGGGAGGCAGCAGUGGGGAAUUUUGGACAAUGGGCGCAAGCCUGAUCCAGCCAUUCCGCGUGCAGGACGAAGGCCUUCGGGUUGUAAACUGCUUUGGUACGGAACGAAAAGGCUCUGGUUAAUACCUGGGGCUCAUGACGGUACCGUAAGAAUAAGCACCGGCUAACUACGUGCCAGCCGCCGCCCGUAA